Molecule: transfer RNA, 60 nt
Filed under: Neotoma lepida (desert woodrat)
Lineage: Eukaryota; Metazoa; Chordata; Mammalia; Rodentia; Cricetidae
Source: Rfam by way of RNAcentral
AUUGCUUAGUGGUUAAGAGCACUGGCUGCUCUGCCAGAGGACCUGGGUUCAAUUCUCAGU